Molecule: ribosomal RNA, 253 nt
Filed under: uncultured bacterium
Lineage: Bacteria
Description: partial 16S ribosomal RNA
Rfam family: Bacterial small subunit ribosomal RNA
Source: RNAcentral
UACGAAGGGGGCAAGCGUUGUUCGGAUUUACUGGGCGUAAAGGGCGCGCAGGCGGCGGACCAAGUCAGGCGUGAAAGCCCCGGGCUUAACCUGGGAAUUGCGUCUGGGACUGGUACGCUAGAGUUCGGGAGAGGAGAGUGGAAUUCCCAGUGUAGAGGUGAAAUUCGUAGAUAUUGGGAAGAACACCGGUGGCGAAGGCGGCUCUCUGGACCGAGACUGACGCUGAGGCGCGAAAGCGUGGGGAGCAAACAGG